GAAGAAGAGAAAGAUGAGGAAGCAGGAGGAAGCACUUCUCCGUAGGAAGUCACUUGAGAAUCAGGGCAUUGCUCUUCGUUCCUUGGCAAGCUCCCCUUGACCUUUCUAAAAAUCAAGAAGAAGAACAUCAGACUGUGUGUCUGUCUUGUACUCAUCAUGGACAGCUGUGUUAAGACUUGACCUGUGGUGUGAUUGAUUUCAAGGACAUCUCUGACAACUUGAGAAUUGCUCCAACAGAGCAAGAUCCUGAAAAUCAUCACCAAAAUCAUUGUGAAGAAGAGCCUUGUGCUCCUUUCUGAGUUGCAGAAGACAAUGAGAAAUGAAAGAAAUUCUAUGAAGUGAUCCCCAAGAAUUUAAGGCUCUCCAGUCUUCCAUAAAGGUUAUUCAUCAUACAAUACAAGAGACUCAGCCCACGGGCAAGUCCACAGGACCACUACCAGUUUCCUUUUUUUCAAGACUGGUGAAUUAUCUGGAUCAAGCAAAUAUCCAAAGGAGUUCUGGAAGCAACUUGCAAAGGAAAGGACACUAUAUGGCUAUUUUCUCUACUUCUAUGGCUAUGGCAGUAUCUGGCAUUACACCAUAGAUCCACCAUACCCAAGUCAAGAAAGUGAAAGCCGUAGAUGCUGCCAUCAAAUGGACUGUCUCGCAGACAAUUUAACCAUUAAAGUUUCUUUCAUUGACACCUA
Long non-coding RNA from Onychomys torridus (southern grasshopper mouse), 686 nucleotides. RefSeq lists it as uncharacterized. The transcript is spliced from 4 exons. The record is from RefSeq and is a predicted model, not a curated record. NCBI's taxonomy places the organism in Eukaryota, Metazoa, Chordata, Mammalia, Rodentia, Cricetidae.